RNAcentral lists this ribosomal RNA (497 nucleotides) under uncultured bacterium. RNAcentral's name for it is "partial 16S ribosomal RNA". It matches the Rfam family "Bacterial small subunit ribosomal RNA", at positions 28 to 507 of the family's 1533-position model. The record is from RNAcentral.
GAUGAACGCUGGCGGCGUGCCUAAUACAUGCAAGUCGAGCGAACGGACGAGAAGCUUGCUUCUCUGAUGUUAGCGGCGGACGGGUGAGUAACACGUGGAUAACCUACCUAUAAGACUGGGAUAACUUCGGGAAACCGGAGCUAAUACCGGAUAAUAUUUUGAACCGCAUGGUUCAAAAGUGGAAGACGGUCUUGCUGUCACUUAUAGAUGGAUCCGCGCUGCAUUAGCUAGUUGGUAAGGUAACGGCUUACCAAGGCAACGAUGCAUAGCCGACCUGAGAGGGUGAUCGGCCACACGGGAACUGAGACACGGUCCAGACUCCUACGGGAGGCAGCAGUAGGGAAUCUUCCGCAAUGGGCGAAAGCCUGACGGAGCAACGCCGCGUGAGUGAUGAAGGUCUUCGGAUCGUAAAACUCUGUUAUUAGGGAAGAACAUAUGUGUAAGUAACUGUGCACAUCUUGACGGUACCUAAUCAGAAAGCCACGGCUAACUACGUG